CGGUAGCAAUACCGAUGAAGAAAGAGUGGCGAACGGGUGAGUACCACGUGAGCAACCUACCCCGAAGACUGGGACAACACCGGGAAACCGGUGCUAAUACCAGAUACCCAUAUCGGACCGCAUGGUCUGAUAUGGAAAUGCCGUCUUCACAGACGUACGCUUCGGGAGGGGCUCGCGGCCUAUCAGCUAGUUGGUGAGGUAACGGCUCACCAAGGCUUCGACGGGUAGCUGGUCUGAGAGGACGAUCAGCCACACUGGGACUGAGACACGGCCCAGACUCCUACGGGAGGCAGCAGUGGGGAAUCUUGCGCAAUGGGCGAAAGCCUGACGCAGCAACGCCGCGUGGGGGACGAAUGCUUUCUGAGUUGUAAACCCCUUUCAGCAGGGACGAUUAUGACGGUACCUGCAGAAGAAGCACCGGCCAACUACGUGCCAGCAGCCGCGGUGAUACGUAGGGUGCAAGCGUUGUCCGGAUUUAUUGGGCGUAAAGAGCUCGUAGGCGGUUUGAUAAGUCGGGUGUGAAACCCCCAGGCUCAACCUGGGGCCGCCAUUCGAAACUGUCAUGACUAGAGUCCGGUAGGGGA
Molecule: ribosomal RNA, 584 nt
Filed under: uncultured bacterium
Lineage: Bacteria
Description: bacterial SSU rRNA
Rfam family: Bacterial small subunit ribosomal RNA
Source: RNAcentral